CCAAGAUUGGGCCUUCCGCGCUCUAACC
This 28-nucleotide small RNA is filed under the name Bombyx mori (domestic silkworm). Its description in RNAcentral is "ovarian small RNA-13471". The record is from RNAcentral. Lineage: Eukaryota; Metazoa; Arthropoda; Insecta; Lepidoptera; Bombycidae.